This 1257-nucleotide unclassified non-coding RNA is filed under the name Homalodisca vitripennis (glassy-winged sharpshooter). Its description in RNAcentral is "uncharacterized LOC124374369, transcript variant X2". Lineage: Eukaryota; Metazoa; Arthropoda; Insecta; Hemiptera; Cicadellidae. The record is from RNAcentral.
UUCGCCUGGUAAAAUAAGACAUUCUUUACUUUACUUUUACUUUUAAAACUGUUUAUUUUAUUUUCUGUACUGAAACAUGUGUUGUUUUACAGGAAAUGUAUGAAUUUCUACCUCGGCAAAGAAAACUUAAACAUAUUUUACAAGCAAGAAAUAUGAAUGAAAUAAAUGUUAUUCAUGAGGAACUUGUACCUGAAAUAUUGAAGACAUCAUCUGAUUUAGAAAACAGUAGACUGGUGGAAUCCAACUAUCAACAGAUACCUAGUAUGAUAGACUCAGUAAAUGUAAUAUCACAACAAGAAAGGUAUGAAAUUGCAUUAUCAAAAACUCAAAGGCUGGCAAACCUACUAUCAGAGGCACCAUCAGAAACUUUCUUUCAGCGUCUAGUGAACUUGGAAACAUUAAUAUACAAUUGGGAGAAUAAUGAAGAAGUGAGUGUUAUUUCACUUAACUCAAAGAAUAAUUGUUCCCAAGAUUUCAUUGAAAUAGAUAAUAAUUAUGUUUUAAUUACAGUAAACGAAUCUGUUGUAUCUGAAUUACAACCUUUUUUUCAAACAAAAUUGAGUUCAGGUUCAGUAGAAAACUACAAAGAAGUGCCAACCUUGCUAGAAGACCAUAAUUAUUUUCAGUUAACCAGUAAAUAAGAAACCAAAAUAAAAAUUUUACAAGAAUCAAAAGCGGUGCAAAAUAUAUUUGAAACAGUGACUAUGAUACAAAUAUUGAAUACGUCUAUAUUCACUAAAAAGCAAAGACGAUAAAGAUAAAACCGUUUUAAAUUUCUUUAGUUAAUAAAUAAUUUUAUGUGCAGUGUUGGAUGAUAAAACAGUAUACCCAGAUGAAUUCAGACAUAAUCUCAAAUGCUGCCUGCCUUUAUACUCAUAAAAACAGAGUAUAUGUAGAAUGAAUCAAGAUUAAUUGUAUUGAGUAUGAAUAGACUUCUGUUCAAGACAGUAAUCCGACAAUUUUCUGCUAUAAUGUUAAAUGGAAGCUAACAUCAGUCAUAGUAUUUUAAUAGUCUUCAGUUCGCUGUCCAUUUUUCAUUUAAAUUCAUUUCAAAUUUUUCUGACUGCACAAAUGUGAAAGAAUAUUUUGUUCUGCAGAUCAAUGAGGAUGGAGUUUAUACUGGAUUUUCAAGGAUUCAAAAACAUUAUCAACGAUUUUGUCAUAAAAGAGCUUGCUCUAAUAUCAACGGACGAGCAAGUGUACCAACUGCAGUUGUUUCAACCACCGUGUAAUUUUAACAAUCUCCCUACACAUUUA